AUGGCUCUCACGCCGCACCCGCCACUCCAGCUCCGCGCGCGCCCCCCCGUGGUCGCCGUGGCCCACCAGCACCGUGCGCUCCUCUUACCGCGCCGCACUCGCUCCAUCCGUUGCUGCGCCGGCGCCGACGUGGGUAAGGUGUGGGCGAGGCGGGCGUACCCGUACGACGAGAUUGAGCCGAGGUGGCAGGCGCUCUGGGAGGAGCACCCCGGACGCCUCCAGGCCCAAGGGCUACAUCCUCGGCAUGUUCUCUUACCCAAGCCACUUCCAAGCGUCCCAGCUGCCAAGUCCCACGCGUCCACUUAUGUGCUUGGAUGUUGGAACAAUUGGCUACAUCGAUCCGAUGUGUACAGCUCCGGUAUCGUCCUUCUGGAGUUGCUCAAAGGGAUGAAGACCGUCGACAACGAUUGCAAUUUGCACCAGUUGAUAAUGUGCACGGACAUGGGGUAG
This 450-nucleotide ribosomal RNA is filed under the name Triticum aestivum (bread wheat). Its description in RNAcentral is "partial small subunit ribosomal RNA". Lineage: Eukaryota; Viridiplantae; Streptophyta; Magnoliopsida; Poales; Poaceae. The record is from RNAcentral.